This 265-nucleotide ribosomal RNA is filed under the name uncultured bacterium. RNAcentral describes it as "partial 16S ribosomal RNA". It matches the Rfam family "Bacterial small subunit ribosomal RNA", at positions 88 to 354 of the family's 1533-position model. The record is from RNAcentral.
CCGGCGACCGGCGGACGGGUGCGUAACGCGUAUGUAACCUACCUUUGACAGGGGGAUAACAUCGAGAAAUUGGUACUAAUACCCCAUAACAUCACCGGAGGCAUCUUCGGUGGUUGAAAACUCAGGUGGUCAGAGAUGGACAUGCGUUGUAUUAGCUAGUUGGUGAGGUAACGGCUCACCAAGGCGACGAUACAUAGGGGGACUGAGAGGUCAACCCCCCACAUUGGUACUGAGGCACGGACCAAACUCCUACGGAAGGCAGCAG